RNAcentral lists this ribosomal RNA (497 nucleotides) under uncultured bacterium. Its description in RNAcentral is "bacterial SSU rRNA". It matches the Rfam family "Bacterial small subunit ribosomal RNA", at positions 27 to 507 of the family's 1533-position model. The record is from RNAcentral.
CGGACGAACGCUGGCGGCGUGGAUUAGGCAUGCAAGUCGGACGGUAGGGCUUUAUCGUAAGAUAGAGUUUGAGAGUGGCGAACGGGUGAGUAACACGUAGGAAUCUACCUUAAGACGGGGACAACCCAGGGAAACUUGGGCUAAUACCGGAUGAGAGUGCGAGAGAUUGCAAUUUAAAAGGAUGGCGAAAGUUGUCGCUUAGGGAUGAGCCUGCGGUCUAUUAGUUAGUUGGUGAGGUAAGAGCUCACCAAGGCGAUGAUAGAUAGGCGGCCUUAACGGGUGGUCGCCCACACUGGGAUUGAGAUACCGGACCCAAACUCCGUACGGGAGGCAGCAGCUAAGAAUAUUCCGCAAUGGACGAAAGUCUGACGGAGCGACGCCGCGUGGAUGACGAAGGCCGAAAGGUUGUAAAAUCCUUUUGCUGAUGAAGAAUAAGCGUGGUAGGGAAUGACCGCGUGAUGACAUUAGUCGGUGAAUAAGCCCCGGCUAACUACGUG